GUGGGGAAUAUUGGACAAUGGGCGAAAGCCUGAUCCAGCCAUGCCGCGUGAGUGAUGAAGGCCUUCGGGUUGUAAAGCACUUUUGUCCGGGAAGAAAUCUUCCAGGUUAAUACCCUGGGAGGCUGAUGGUACCGGAAGAAUAAGCACCGGCUAACUUCGUGCCAGCAGCCGCGGUAAUACGAAGGGUGCAAGCGUUACUCGGAAUUACUGGGCGUAAAGCGUGCGUAGGUGGUUCGUUAAGUCUGCCGUGAAAGCCCCGGGCUCAACCUGGGAAUGGCGGUGGAUACUGGCGGGCUAGAGUGCGGUAGAGGGUGGUGGAAUUCCCGGUGUAGCAGUGAAAUGCGUAGAGAUCGGGAGGAACAUCUGUGGCGAAGGCGGCCACCUGGACCAGCACUGACACUGAGGCACGAAAGCGUGGGGAGCAAACAGGAUUAGAAACCCUAGUAGUCC
RNAcentral lists this ribosomal RNA (450 nucleotides) under uncultured bacterium. RNAcentral describes it as "partial 16S ribosomal RNA". It matches the Rfam family "Bacterial small subunit ribosomal RNA", at positions 354 to 796 of the family's 1533-position model. The record is from RNAcentral.